AAUACAGAGCUCUUUCUGUCUAAGCCUCGCGUUUCAUUUGGCCUUCUUUGAUUCUUUGAUUUGUGGGUUUUCUUUUUAUUCCCUUGCUUUGGUUUGAUUUUUAUACUUAUUUAUUAUUUUACAAGAGUUAGUGUGUGUCUAUCUAUGGAUUUCGUUAAAAUUUUGUUUGGACAUUUCCUUAUUAUUGUCAUGAUCCAAUUCUGGGUUCUUUUUCUUCUUUGUCGGUUGCCAGUGUUUGAGGUCGACUCUUUUGCAUAAUUAAAUUUCAAAUUGCAAGGAAAGUGAUAUAAGGUAACCCCAUAAUCUUUUAUUUUAUUUUAUUUUAUUUUAUUUUAUUUUUUACAGUUCCUCUUGUUUGUUAAAAAAAAUUGAGCCAAAAACAUAUAGAUUUGAUAACUUGAGAGUUCAGUGCAAUAUUUCAAAGCAUAUUUGAUUUUGGUUUGAACUCCUCCAGAAAAGUUGUUGUGCUUUGUCUUUUGUUUAGUGACUUGGCUUGGCCCUUGAAAUUGGGCACUUUUUUAUCUAUAUAUAUUUUUCUUAUAUUUACCACUAUUAUAUAGUGAUCAUCUGC
Molecule: long non-coding RNA, 571 nt
Filed under: Gossypium raimondii (Peruvian cotton)
Lineage: Eukaryota; Viridiplantae; Streptophyta; Magnoliopsida; Malvales; Malvaceae
Description: long non-coding RNA (GRAI_LNC006370)
Source: RNAcentral